RNAcentral lists this transfer RNA (73 nucleotides) under Riemerella anatipestifer. RNAcentral's name for it is "tRNA-Thr(ggt)". It matches the Rfam family "tRNA". From Rfam's summary of the family: Transfer RNA (tRNA) molecules are approximately 80 nucleotides in length. Their secondary structure includes four short double-helical elements and three loops (D, anti-codon, and T loops). Further hydrogen bonds mediate the characteristic L-shaped molecular structure. tRNAs have two regions of fundamental functional importance: the anti-codon, which is responsible for specific mRNA codon recognition, and the 3' end, to which the tRNAs corresponding amino acid is attached (by aminoacyl-tRNA synthetases). tRNAs cope with the degeneracy of the genetic code in two manners: having more than one tRNA (with a specific anti-codon) for a particular amino acid; and 'wobble' base-pairing, i.e. permitting non-standard base-pairing at the 3rd anti-codon position. Lineage: Bacteria; Pseudomonadati; Bacteroidota; Flavobacteriia; Flavobacteriales; Weeksellaceae. The record is from RNAcentral.
GCCGAUAUAGCUCAGCGGUAGAGCGCUUCCUUGGUAAGGAAGAGGUCUCGGGUUCAAGUCCCGAUAUUGGCUC